Molecule: ribosomal RNA, 464 nt
Filed under: uncultured bacterium
Lineage: Bacteria
Description: bacterial SSU rRNA
Rfam family: Bacterial small subunit ribosomal RNA
Source: RNAcentral
ACGGCAGCACGGGGGCAACCCUGGUGGCGAGUGGCGAACGGGUGAGUAAUGUAUCGGAACGUACCCAGUCGUGGGGGAUAACUAUCCGAAAGGAUAGCUAAUACCGCAUACGUCCUGAGGGAGAAAGCGGGGGAUCGCAAGACCUCGCGCGAUUGGAGCGGCCGAUAUCGGAUUAGCUAGCUGGUGAGGUAAAGGCUCACCAAGGCGACGAUCCGUAGCGGGUCUGAGAGGACGACCCGCCACACUGGAACUGAGACACGGUCCAGACUCCUACGGGAGGCAGCAGUGGGGAAUUUUGGACAAUGGGGGAAACCCUGAUCCAGCCAUUCCGCGUGAGUGAAGAAGGCCUUCGGGUUGUAAAGCUCUUUCAGCAGGAACGAAACGGUCGGCUUUAAUAAAGUCGGCUAAUGACGGUACCUGCAGAAGAAGCACCGGCUAACUACGUGCCAGCAGCCGCGGUAAUA